GACGAACGCUGGCGGCGUGCUUAACACAUGCAAGUCGAACGGAAAGGCCCUGCUUUUGUGGGGUGCUCGAGUGGGGAACGGGUGAGUAACACGUGAGUAACCUGCCGUCUACUUGGGGAUAACUUCAGGAAACAGGGGUAAAUACUGCAGAGGAGCUCCUGCUGCACGGUGGGGGUGGGAAAGUGUAGGCGGUUGGGGAUGGUCGCGCGGCUUAUCAGCUUGUUGGGGGGGGAUUGGGUUACCAAGGGUUGGACGGGUAGCCGGCAUGAGAGGGUGACCGGCGUCAUUGGGCCUGAGAGACGGCCCAGACUCCAACGGGGGGCAGUAGUGGGAAAUCUUGCACAGUGGGCGGACGCGUAAUGCAGCAACGCCGCGUGUGGGAAGUCGGCCUUGGGGUUGUAAACCGCUUACGCCUGUGACGAAGCGUCAGUGACGGUACUGGGUGAAGAAGCACCGGCUAACUACGUG
RNAcentral lists this ribosomal RNA (468 nucleotides) under uncultured bacterium. RNAcentral's name for it is "partial 16S ribosomal RNA". It matches the Rfam family "Bacterial small subunit ribosomal RNA", at positions 28 to 507 of the family's 1533-position model. The record is from RNAcentral.